This 301-nucleotide ribosomal RNA is filed under the name uncultured bacterium. RNAcentral's name for it is "partial 16S ribosomal RNA". It matches the Rfam family "Bacterial small subunit ribosomal RNA", at positions 509 to 807 of the family's 1533-position model. The record is from RNAcentral.
CAGUAGCCACGGGAAUACAGAGGGUGCGAGCGUUAAUCGGAUUUACUGGGCGUAAAGCGUGCGUAGGCGGCUUCUUAAGUCGGAUGUGAAAUCCCUGAGCUUAACUUAGGAAUUGCAUUCGAUACUGGGAAGCUAGAGUAUGGGAGAGGAUGGUAGAAUUCCAGGUGUAGCGGUGAAAUGCGUAGAGAUCUGGAGGAAUACCGAUGGCGAAGGCAGCCAUCUGGCCUAAUACUGACGCUGAGGUACGAAAGCAUGGGGAGCAAACAGGACUAGAUACCCGAGUAGUCCCUGUCUCUUAUAC